Non-coding RNA from Xiphias gladius (swordfish), 2084 nucleotides. The record is from the annotation of a RefSeq genome assembly. Lineage: Eukaryota; Metazoa; Chordata; Actinopteri; Istiophoriformes; Xiphiidae.
GUGCACGAAGUUCAGUUCCACAAACACUUCAGCAAUUACGGACAACGAUACAUCUGAAUCCGAAUGGAGCUCCAAUGGAAUAUGAAAAUUGUGAUACAACUCGUAGUAAUUGUCUUGCGCUGUAAAGGUUCCUCAGCUGAUACUACAAGGAAGCUCAGUGUCUUGCUAGGCACAGAUGUGACUGUCAGCUGCCUGUUCAACAAACUGUCCAAGCUGGUGGAGUGGAGUGCUCUCACCGUUGAGUGGAACAUGGUGGAUAAACAUGCAGAGAAGAACAUUGUGUACACCUUAGAGGAUGGGAGAGCACAUGUAAACAGAGAUGGCACUGUUGUGGAUAAAAUGGGGUUGCUUCAAAGCAAUGCAUCUCUGCAGCUACAUAAUGUGACUGUGGGAGAUGAAGGGCUGUACACCUGCAGGAUCAUCACACCUGUGGUCUACACAGAGACCACUUCAUUGGAAGUGCUGGCUCGGCCUUCAGUGUCGCUCCCAGAAAAGGCAGUAGUGACAGACGGAGAGGAGAAAACCAUACAGUGUGACAUAACAGGUUUCUACCCAGAGAAACUGGCUGUGACAUGGCACAUUCAAAAUGGCUCCCACACUGUCCAUGGAGGCGUAAGCCACCUCUCCCGUGUCUGCACUGAAAUGGCCGUUCACAAUCCAGAUGGCACCUUCAGUAUUCGCAGUGGCAUCACACUACACUCCUCAGCAGUAAAGGAUGGAGAGAUUCGCAUCAUCUGCCAGGUGGAUCACCACACCUACAACUGGCCCUACAACAGAUCUGUUAGACUGACUGUUGAAGCUCCAUCACAGCCCCUUUACAGUGCAGGCACUCUGAUAGCUGUCACUAGUGCCAUCAGUUUGCUGCUGGUAACCGCUGUUAUUGGGGGCACUCUGCUUCUCUACAGGUAUUUCUGCAAAGCUCCACCAAGUGUUUCUGAAAUCAGCCAAUCUAGCAUCAUAUAUGCUCAGGUGCCAACCGAACUCAAAUGCACCAUCCAAGGAGCAAGACAGCGAGAGAUCACAGUGAAGUGGUCUAAACUAAGGAGCAGUGCAGACUCAGUGUUCCAGUCUGAAUCGGUUUCUCUGUUGGUCAGUGAGGAUCUAAGCGAGCAGGCUUGUCUCCAUUCCAAUGGGAAACAGCAUACAUCUGUCCUGACUGUGUGUCUGACUGUGACUGAAGACCUAAACAAAUACCAGUGUGUGGUGCUGUGCAGGGGGAAGAGCUUCAACAGAGAGACCACAGUCAGGGUAAAAGUGGAGCCAUCUUUCCUCCAGAUCUCCAGCAUCCCUCAGAUUCCCAAAGUGGAGCGGCUGCUGGUUCUCUGCUGUCGGGUGGAGAAGUUCUAUCCCCAGGACAUCAACUUGGAGUGGUCCAGGAACGACGGGGAACAGGUCCACACCGUCAUUCACUUUGGACCAUUCUCUGACCACAACCAACUCUACAGUGUGUGGAGUAAGAUCCAGCUGGUCAUGGCCAGAGAGGAUGAGAGGGCCAUCUACACCUGCCGUGUGUACCACUCCAGCUUCACUGCUCCGGGCUACAAAGACGUCCUGUACCACAUCAACACUCAAGGGACUCCUCCUAAUGUGAUGUUCAUCAACUGUGAACCAUUGUGUCCUCUGCUGAGUGAAGAAUGUAUACUGUACCUGUGCAUCAAAGAUUUCUGUCCUGAGGACGUGUCAGUAACUUGGACUAAAGACGGAGAGACGUUUCUCUCCGGCGUCUUCAACACUCCCCCCAGCCUGAACAUCAAUGGCCUCUACUCCAUGUUCACUUUUCUCAAAAUCAAUCCCAACAAGGAUGACCAGGGCUCCAAGUUCAGGUGCCAGGUGGUCCACAGUGCUCAGAGGGAGCCUGAGGAGAGGCUCUUCACACUUCCAAACCUGCACCUGACAGACAACUGCUGAUGUCACUGGGUAAACUGUUACAUUUCAAUCUAGUAGUUUGAUUGGUGCAGGUCAGUAGAGGUAAAUCAGCAUCUGGGAAAUAUGAUGGGCCUUUUGAUAAUAUAAUUUCUGGUCCAGUCAUUACUGUCCACCUCUGAUAUGACGGACAUGAUGGAUCUUUCUUCUCCAAGCAAUAA